This 85-nucleotide transfer RNA is filed under the name Candidatus Omnitrophota bacterium. RNAcentral describes it as "Candidatus Omnitrophica bacterium tRNA-Leu". It matches the Rfam family "tRNA". From Rfam's summary of the family: Transfer RNA (tRNA) molecules are approximately 80 nucleotides in length. Their secondary structure includes four short double-helical elements and three loops (D, anti-codon, and T loops). The record is from RNAcentral. Lineage: Bacteria; Pseudomonadati; Candidatus Omnitrophota.
GCGAGAGUGGUGGAACUGGCAGACACAUACGGUUUAGGACCGUAUGCCUUUGGGCAUGUGGGUUCAACUCCCACCUCUCGCACCA